GACGAACGCUGGCGGCGUGCUUAACACAUGCAAGUCGAACGGAAAGGCCUCUUUCGGGGGGUACUCGAGUGGCGAACGGGUGAGUAACACGUGAGUAACCUGCCCUUGACUUUGGGAUAACCUCAGGAAACUGGGGCUAAUACCGGAUAGGAGCUCCUGCUGCAUGGUGGGGGUUGGAAAGUUUCGGCGGUUGGGGAUGGACUCGCGGCUUAUCAGCUUGUUGGUGGGGUAGUGGCUUACCAAGGCUUUGACGGGUAGCCGGCCUGAGAGGGUGACCGGCCACAUUGGGACUGAGAUACGGCCCAGACUCCUACGGGAGGCAGCGGUGGGGAAUAUUGCACAAUGGGUGGAAGCCUGAUGCAGCAACGCCGUGUGCGGGAUGACGGCCUUCGGGUUGUAAACCGCUUUCGCUCAUGACGAAGCUUUGUGUGACGGUAGUGGGUAAAGAAGCACCGGCUAACUACGUG
RNAcentral lists this ribosomal RNA (467 nucleotides) under uncultured bacterium. RNAcentral describes it as "partial 16S ribosomal RNA". It matches the Rfam family "Bacterial small subunit ribosomal RNA", at positions 28 to 507 of the family's 1533-position model. The record is from RNAcentral.